UGGGGAAUAUUGCACAAUGGGCGCAAGCCUGAUGCAGCCAUGCCGCGUGUGUGAAGAAGGCCUUCGGGUUGUAAAGCACUUUCAGCGGGGAGGAAGGCGAUAAGGUUAAUAACCUUGUCGAUUGACGCUACCCGCAGAAGAAGCACCGGCUAACUCCGUGCCAGCAGCCGCGGUAAUACGGAGGGUGCAAGCGUUAAUCGGAAUUACUGGGCGUAAAGCGCACGCAGGCGGUCUGUCAAGUCGGAUGUGAAAUCCCCGGGCUCAACCUGGGAACUGCAUUCGAAACUGGCAGGCUAGAGUCUUGUAGAGGGGGGUAGAAUUCCAGGUGUAGCGGUGAAGUGCGUAGAGAUCUGGAGGAAUACCGGUGGCGAGGGCGGCCCCCUGGACGAAGACUGACGCUCAGGUGCGAAAGCGUGGGGAGCAAACAGG
This 429-nucleotide ribosomal RNA is filed under the name Chloroflexota bacterium. RNAcentral's name for it is "Chloroflexi bacterium partial 16S ribosomal RNA". It matches the Rfam family "Bacterial small subunit ribosomal RNA", at positions 355 to 776 of the family's 1533-position model. The record is from RNAcentral. Lineage: Bacteria; Bacillati; Chloroflexota.